AGGACGACGCUGGCGGCGUGCCUAACACAUGCAAGUCGAACGGGAUCCAUGGAGUGCUUGCACUCCGGAAGAUCUAGUGGCGAACGGGUGAGUAACACGUGAGAAACCUGCCCCAGACUCUGGGAUAACCUCGGGAAACCGAAGCUAAUACCGGAUAUUCUCCUUUGGUCGCAUGGCCAGUUGAGGAAAGUUUUUCGGUCUGGGAGGGUCUCGCGGCCUAUCAGCUAGUUGGUGGGGUAACGGCCCACCAAGGCUACGACGGGUAGCUGGUUUGAGAGAACGAUCAGCCACACUGGAACUGAGACACGGUCCAGACUCCUACGGGAGGCAGCAGUGGGGAAUCUUGCGCAAUGGGCGAAAGCCUGACGCAGCAACGCCGCGUGCGGGAUGAAGGCCUUCGGGUUGUAAACCGCUUUCAGCAGGGACGAAAAUGACGGUACCUGCAGAAGAAGCCCCGGCUAACUACGUG
RNAcentral lists this ribosomal RNA (469 nucleotides) under uncultured bacterium. RNAcentral describes it as "bacterial SSU rRNA". It matches the Rfam family "Bacterial small subunit ribosomal RNA", at positions 33 to 507 of the family's 1533-position model. The record is from RNAcentral.